RNAcentral lists this long non-coding RNA (691 nucleotides) under Citrus sinensis (sweet orange). RNAcentral's name for it is "long non-coding RNA (CSIN_LNC002247)". Lineage: Eukaryota; Viridiplantae; Streptophyta; Magnoliopsida; Sapindales; Rutaceae. The record is from RNAcentral.
CACAUCCUUUCAUGUAACUAAUAUCCUAGGAAUUUCACUGUAAUAUGCAUAGACAUGUGAGUAGACUGCUGCUUCAUAGGUUUUCUUUUCCAGGUUAAAAUAUUGUACCUCACAAUAUUACACUUAUUGCACUGCAGUCACACCGUUGUUUAGUUCAACAAAACAGUGGAAUUACAUAAUUCUAGAUGCCUAUAUUUUUCCAUUUCAUAUUUAUGUCUCUUAACAUUUAUUUGUUUGAAAUUUCUAUGGAACUAGUGCCAUAUAAAUUGCUAUAAUUACCCUGUUAAAGAAUUUCAUAAUUGUAAUAUUUAUGAUUUGAGAGGAUCUUUUGUCAAGUGAUUGUGAAUUCAACGUCUAAUUCUUUUAUAAGGUGAUAGUUUGUUGCUUCAUUAUUUGUCUAUGAAACCAGUCCCUUGAAUUGCUGUAAAACUGGUCCGACAGAUUCCAAUUAUCCAUAGGAUUCUCAUUUUCCCUUCAGUUUUUCAUAGAAGUUGCACUUAAGAGACUACCGUAUUGCAUUGGUUCUUUUGAUUGCCUUAGUUGCAUAAUUAUUAUUUACAUUACGAGACUACCAUAUUGCAUUGGUUCUUUUGAUUGCCUUAGUUGCAUAAUUAUUAUUUACAUUGUAGGAUAUGUAUGUGAUGCUGUGUCAGUGGAUCCACAAUCCCGAUGCUGCCCAGAGAAAGGAGAG